GCCACGGUAGCUCAAUUGGUACAGCAUCGCACGUGAAAUGCGAAGGUUGUGGGUUCGGUUCCUACCUGCGGCA
Molecule: transfer RNA, 73 nt
Filed under: Dermacentor andersoni
Lineage: Eukaryota; Metazoa; Arthropoda; Arachnida; Ixodida; Ixodidae
Description: transfer RNA serine (anticodon UGA)
Rfam family: tRNA
About the family: Transfer RNA (tRNA) molecules are approximately 80 nucleotides in length. Their secondary structure includes four short double-helical elements and three loops (D, anti-codon, and T loops).
Source: RNAcentral